This is a long non-coding RNA of Heterocephalus glaber (naked mole-rat), 659 nucleotides long. RefSeq lists it as uncharacterized. NCBI's taxonomy places the organism in Eukaryota, Metazoa, Chordata, Mammalia, Rodentia, Bathyergidae. The record is from RefSeq and is a predicted model, not a curated record.
CCAACCGAGGACCAUGGCUGGACAGAAAGACUGUGCACUUUGGGGUCAGCUGGGCCUGAGUUAGACUCCAGCUCCCCCACUUGUUAGCUUCAAAUUCCGAGAUAGUUGUGUUUGAACUUAUUUGACUUCCUCUGGGGCUACUAAUCUCCACAUCGCUCAAUCCUUGGGAGUCUGUGAGCUCCCCAAGAGGGAAACUAUCUGAUUCAUCCUAAAAGCCAGAAGCAAGUCUCCCUGGAGACCUCGCCACCGGAAGGUCCACCCAGCCAAACAGCCAUCCUGGGGCAUUGCCUCCUUGCCUGGCAUGAACCCCCAGAGGAGAGCUCGUGGCUGUGAUACCAGAGUUGUCAUCUCCAGGAUGGGAGCGGUGGGAAGAGACUGUGAAGCCUGCAGACCCCAACCCCUCAGUGGGACAGCAGCAGGGACCUGGAAUCUUCCAUCAGGAAGAAGCAAUACUGGUAGGCAGCAGAUGGCAACUUCAAACACGUGCAGAUGGCUUGCAUUGUAACCCGACGGACAGUAAGAACACAUAUCCUAGAUCACCAACCUGGAAGACACCCCCUUAAAUAUACCCAACUCUGCUCAUAAGGCACCUCAGCACCCACAAUCCACUGCUAAGUGCAACCUAAGAUCUCUAUCUUAUAAACCCUUUUCAUGCCUCU